AGGAACUCGGGAUACCCUGUCACAAAUACAUGUGGUGAAGUCCAGAUAUCAAGUUUCCUUGGACAAUGAACAGAAAAGAGGAAUCUUCCUUUUCUAUCUUAAUGAGGAAAACCACAGCAACACAGCUGCAUUCAUCCUGAAUUGGAUUCUCCUUUCUUCAGGCUUUACCUCAAUUUGGCAUCUGAAUGGAAACACCAGCUAUUUACACCCAUAUUCUGGAUAAUCAUGAGCAAUUGUCCUUAUUCUGGCUGUAGAGUUGUUAGAGCUCAGUUCUUGCUCAGUCUCAAAGUGUCAAGGCUUUAGGAUGCUUACCUGAUGGCCAUGUGUUGCCAGACUUUUGGCGGGUAACAUAUUUUCUCCAGCCCUCAUAAGCAAUGAUAUGGGCCAAAAUUCUUUUAAACCAGUAAGUUAG
This 412-nucleotide long non-coding RNA is filed under the name Gallus gallus (chicken). The record is from RNAcentral. Lineage: Eukaryota; Metazoa; Chordata; Aves; Galliformes; Phasianidae.